Molecule: ribosomal RNA, 2709 nt
Filed under: Triticum aestivum (bread wheat)
Lineage: Eukaryota; Viridiplantae; Streptophyta; Magnoliopsida; Poales; Poaceae
Description: partial small subunit ribosomal RNA
Source: RNAcentral
AUGCAUUUUCAUGACAGAGAUAAUAUUGAAAGGGGUAUGAGGAUGUCAGACAUCACAUAUUACAAUUUGGUAGCACUGAUGGAGACAGAAGGGUAUGGUUUUAGAGAUUAUAUGUAUUAUGUGAGGGACCCUGGGCUAGGGAUUGAAGGAAUGGAAGAAAUAGAUGAUGAUGAUAAGUUAGCGGAAAUUUUAGACCACAUAGCAGAGCAGAAUAACAAGAUAUUGAAUGUGACAAUAGUUAGGGCCAGUGCAGAGAAAGUUCCCAAUAUAAAUACCAGUGUUAAUGUCAUUGAGACGCAGACCCCAAUAGAACAAAUUGGAGAGCCCAAACUGUAUCAGAUUGAUGAUGAAGGAGUGUUGUUCAAUGCUGAAAAUGUGCAUGUAGAAGCUGAGAGUUGUGAUGCAGGAGGAGAACAAGAGCCAAUGCCCAUGCAGUUUGACACACAGCAAAGCAGAAUAAAUGUGAGCCUGGAACCUGCUUUAGGUGAUGCAGUAGUGGAAGCAUACCAUGUGACUGACAAUUCAGAGGAGCAACUGAUAAUAGAGCAAGAAAUGGAGGAGAAAAGGAGAAAUGAAAUUGAAAUGUUUAGGAAGAACAAGAAGGAAAGAGUGAAGGAGACUUGUUUGAACAAGAAGGAAAGAGUGAAGGAGACUUGUUUGAACAGAAAAGCAUCAGUGAUGGACAAUGAAGAGGAUAGUGAUGAUGAUGAUAUGGUGGAAUAUGGUGAUAUCUUAGCUAGGCUUGAGGAGAUGAGAAGACAGAGGAAUGACCCAGAACUUCAUUUUGAAGGGGACACAGAUGUUGAGGAAAUGUGUGACUCAGAGGUGGAUGAUGAGCUGUAUGUGCCACAAGGUGAAGAAGAGGAUGUAGAUGAGGAAGAGGAGGAGGAAUUGGAGGAAGAGGAACAAGAGGAUGAGCUAGGGCAAGAUGUACCAAACAAGAGAAGGGCCAAGAGACAAAGAAAAGGCCCAACAAGCAAUUCACAUGGCAGUAUAGAACACAUGUUUGAGGAGGACUGGAUUCCAUCAUCUGAUGAGGACAAGAAACCACAAGACCUUGGUGGGGACGAUGAUGAUGGUGCUGAGGCAUUGGCAUAUGCGUUGCCCAAUGGUAGAAAAAGCAGAGCAAAGAAGAUGAAGAAGAGGUUAUGGUUUGAUGAGCACAGAGCUCAUCCAGAGGAGCAAUUUGUGAAGCAUCUUUGCUUCUUAAAUGUAUACCAGUUUAGAGCUGCACUUCAAACCCUGCACAUUGCUCAAAACAGGAACUUUGUCUACCAUAGAAACUAUAGUGAUAGGGUGAUAGCACAGUGCAUAGAUGAGCAAUGUCCCUUCUAUAUAGCAGCUUCUCAGAUUGCAAAUGAGAAGUCAUUUACAAUUAGGAAGGUGUAUUUAGUGCACACAUGCCCUUCUAUGUCAGAGAAUACUAAAGUCACUGCUAAGUGGGUUUCAAAAUUCUGUGAGGAGGCUAUCAGAAAUGACCCAUGCACAACAAUCACAAGUAUUAUUAAUACUACAAAGAGCAAGUAUGGUGUGGACAUAUCAACACACAUGGCAUACAGGGCAAAGAGGGCAGCAAAGGCUGUUGUGUUAGGAGACCAGAAAGCCAAGUACACCAGGAUUAGGGAUUAUUUACAGGCUGUGUUGGAUACAAAUCUAGGUUCAAGAUGCAUUGUGACAACAAGAUAUCUGAAGCAGCAUCCAAGCACUAACCCUAGGUUUCAUGCACUGUUCAUAUGCUUGAACGGAUGCAAAGAAGGGUUUCUCAAUGGCUGCAGACCAUUCAUAGGUCUAGAUGGUUGUUUCAUCAAGCUCACUAUUGGUCAACAAAUUCUAGCUGCAACUGGAAGAGAUGGGAACAAUAAUAUUUUUCCCAUUGCUUUUGGAAUUGUUGAUAAGGAGGACACUAACUCCUGGACCUGGUUUUUAUACCAGUUGAGACAAGCAUUAGGUGGAGAAUCUGGGAAGUUUGGGAACUACAUAAUAAUUUCAGAUAGGCAGAAGGGCCUUUUAAAAGCCAUUACCAGAGUGUUUCCCAAUUGUCCCCAAAGGUUUUGUCUUAGACAUAUCUACCAGAACUUUCAAAAUGCUGGGUUUAGCGGGCCUCAAUUAAAGCAAUACAUGGAUGCAGCCAGUUAUUCAUACACUGAACAUGGUUUUAAAACUGCAAUGGCUGAAUUAAAGACUGAGAGUGAGGCUGCUUGGGAAUGGCUAAGCAAAAUACCUAAACACACUUGGGCCAGACAUGCAAUGGAUAUGAGCUGCAAAACAGACUUAGUUGUUAACAAUCUAAGUGAGGUUUUCAACAAGUGGGUUCUUGAUGUCAGGGCUAAACCAAUUAGGACCAUGGGGGAUGGAAUUAGGACAAAGUUAAUGGUCAAGUUCAAUGCAAAUAGAACAAAGACUGAGACUGUAAGAUGGGAAAUUUGUCCAACAUAUGCUGAGAAAUUAGAGGAAGCAAAGAAGUUUGCAAGGAACUGUCAUGCUUUGAUGGCUGGGCCCAAUCUUUACCAAGUCACUAGUGGGGAGAGAACUUAUGCUGUGAACCUACAACAUAGGACUUGUGGGUGCAAGAAGUGGGAUAUGACAGCAGUUCCUUGCAAUCAUGUUGUUUCUUCCAUACACAAGGCUAUGCUUCAGCCAGAGGACUUUGUUCAUGAUUUCUUCAAAAAAAGCCUGGCAGCUUACAGUCCCAUUAUAUCCUGUACCUGA